UGGCUAACUCCUACGGGAGGCAGCAGUGGGGAAUCUUGCGCAAUGGGCGGAAGCCUGACGCAGCCAUGCCGCGUGGAUGAUGAAGGUCUUAGGAUUGUAAAAUCCUUUCACCGGUGAAGAUAAUGACUGUAGCCGGAGAAGAAGCCCCGGCUAACUUCGUGCCAGCAGCCGCGGUAAUACGAAGGGGGCUAGCGUUGCUCGGAAUUACUGGGCGUAAAGGGAGCGUAGGCGGACAUUUAAGUCAGGGGUGAAAUCCCAGAGCUCAACUCUGGAACUGCCUUUGAUACUGGGUGUCUUGAGUGUGAGAGAGGUAUGUGGAACUCCGAGUGUAGAGGUGAAAUUCGUAGAUAUUCGGAAGAACACCAGUGGCGAAGGCGACGUACUGGCUCAUUACUGACGCUGAGGCUCGAAAGCGUGGGGAGCAAACAGGAUUAGAUACCCUUGUAGUCCAGCUGG
Molecule: ribosomal RNA, 456 nt
Filed under: uncultured bacterium
Lineage: Bacteria
Description: bacterial SSU rRNA
Rfam family: Bacterial small subunit ribosomal RNA
Source: RNAcentral